This 267-nucleotide ribosomal RNA is filed under the name Triticum aestivum (bread wheat). RNAcentral's name for it is "partial small subunit ribosomal RNA". The record is from RNAcentral. Lineage: Eukaryota; Viridiplantae; Streptophyta; Magnoliopsida; Poales; Poaceae.
AUGUGUUGUCCUGUGCUAGAUGUUGCUUUUGAAUCGUACCAAAUUGGACAGCAUCCUACCCGAGCAGUACCCAAAGCAAAUACCGAUGACUUCGUAUACCGAAACCUACCUACAAGGCACCAUGUCCUAAGAAAGGUUGCGGACUGUUGCCACUGUGGGGCGUUGCGGUUUCCAUUCGAGGGGCCAGCAUUUUGUUGCAGAAAAGGAAAAGUCGAUUUGUUUACUCCAGAUGUUCCAGAAGAGUUGAAACGGUUGUUUACAAGUUAA